This 581-nucleotide long non-coding RNA is filed under the name Lathyrus oleraceus (garden pea). RNAcentral's name for it is "Pisum sativum (pea) long non-coding RNA (PSAT_LNC030728)". Lineage: Eukaryota; Viridiplantae; Streptophyta; Magnoliopsida; Fabales; Fabaceae. The record is from RNAcentral.
CAAAUCCUAGAUAUUCAUCGAUGUGAUAAGUUGGAUAGCCUCCCAAGUGAACUAUGGUCUUUGACUACCUUAACAAAAGUACGUGUUCGGAGACCUUCCAAUGCUAUGGCUGCAAUCCUACAGAAUUUGGAAGUUGAGAAUGGAUGUGAGGUCAUUGUAGACCUUCCAAUGCUAUGGUUCAAUGCCACACCUUCAAAUCCUUGAUAUUCAAAGAUGUAGUAAGUUGGAUAGCCUCCCAAGUGAACUAUGGUCUUUGACUACCUUAACAAAAGUACGUGUUCGGAGACCAUCCCCUCAAAUGGCUGCAAUGCUACACCAUUUGGAAGUUAGGAAAGGAUGUGAACUUAUUGUAGAGUAAUUAGAAUUAAUGCUUGUUUGCUUUGAAUUUAUAAGUUUUUUUAUGGUAUAUUUUAAACACCUUAUUUAUUAAUUUCAUAUUUCUUUCUUCUUCAUUUAUCUAUUUCUAUUUUAGUUAACUAAUGUAUUUGAGGCUUAGUAAUAAGACUGAAAAAUAACCAAAUCAAUUAGAAAAUAUCGAUUUACUUAGUGAAUAUUUACUCUCCUUGUGUUCUAGAAAAAAA